RNAcentral lists this ribosomal RNA (301 nucleotides) under uncultured bacterium. Its description in RNAcentral is "partial 16S ribosomal RNA". It matches the Rfam family "Bacterial small subunit ribosomal RNA", at positions 509 to 807 of the family's 1533-position model. The record is from RNAcentral.
CAGUCGCCGCGGGAAUACGUAGGGUGCGAGCGUUAAUCGGAAUUACUGGGCGUAAAGCGUGCGCAGGCGGUUUUGUAAGACAGGCGUGAAAUCCCCGGGCUCAACCUGGGAAUGGCGCUUGUGACUGCAAAGCUAGAGUGCGGCAGAGGGGGAUGGAAUUCCGCGUGUAGCAGUGAAAUGCGUAGAUAUGCGGAGGAACACCGAUGGCGAAGGCAAUCCCCUGGGCCUGCACUGACGCUCACGCACGAAAGCGUGGGGAGUAAACAGGAUUAGAUACCCCUGUAGUCCCUGUCUCUUAUAC